RNAcentral lists this non-coding RNA (89 nucleotides) under unclassified sequences. RNAcentral describes it as "skipping-rope RNA". It matches the Rfam family "skipping-rope RNA". Rfam says of the family: Firmicutes, Fusobacteria, AlphaProteobacteria, Spirochaetes. Downstream gene The record is from Rfam by way of RNAcentral.
UGUAAGUAAGGGUAGAAAGGUCCCUACCGCACCUCUUACCCGCUGUAAGAGGUAUCUGAGAUGUUGGAUACACCGCCCAACUGCUUACA